Molecule: ribosomal RNA, 468 nt
Filed under: uncultured bacterium
Lineage: Bacteria
Description: partial 16S ribosomal RNA
Rfam family: Bacterial small subunit ribosomal RNA
Source: RNAcentral
GACGAACGCUGGCGGCGUGCUUAACACAUGCAAGUCGAACGGAAAGGCCCUGCUUUUGUGGGGUGCUCGAGUGGCGAACGGGUGAGUAACACGUGAGUAACCUGCCCUUGACUUUGGGAUAACUUCAGGAAACUGGGGCUAAUACCGGAUAGGAGCUCCUGCUGCAUGGUGGGGGUUGGAAAGUUUCGGCGGUUGGGGAUGGACUCGCGGCUUAUCAGCUUGUUGGUGGGGUAGUGGCUUACCAAGGCUUUGACGGGUAGCCGGCCUGAGAGGGUGACCGGCCACAUUGGGACUGAGAUACGGCCCAGACUCCUACGGGAGGCAGAAGUGGGGAAUAUUGCACAAUGGGCGGAAGCCUGAUGCAGCAACGCCGCGUGCGGGAUGACGGCCUUCGGGUUGUAAACCGCUUCCGCCUGUGACGAAGCGUGAGUGACGGUAAUGGGUAAAGAAGCACCGGCUAACUACGUG